CGACGCAAAGCACUAGGAUCGGCUUUACUAACGAAGGGGCAGUGCUUUGCAGCUAAUUUCACAACGCGUUCCAUUAUUUAAAUAAGAAAAAUAAAGAAAGAGAGUGACAAUGAAAAACCCAAAACCAGCAAAAAAUCGAUCCAAUCUUAUAGAAAAAAUGCGACCGAGAGAAGAGGAUAUAGAGUCAACGCUUUGACUAAUAUAUAUUUUUUAUUUCUUAAAACCCUUUCAAUGGAUCAACCAACUUUCAAAGUGUCUAUCCAAUCCUUCUUACAGAGCAAGAAAAAGGUUGAGCAAAUUAGAAAAAAAAACAAUCCAACCAAGACCUAGCGGGCAAAUAACGAUGCUAUCGACUGUGGUAUUAGAAGGUACGAAUUUGCAACACCCCGGUAUAGUUAUUUAGGGAAAAAUAUUACGGUAUCCAAAUCGAUCUCUGGAUAACGAUGGGAAACGUAGAAAGAAAGCAACAGGUCAACCUUUAGUUACUUAUUUAAAGAAAUAGGUAAGAUAAAAAAUUUACCUUACUAUAAAUAAGACAGAAGAUGUAACGAUGAGAAAUAUUAUCGGAAAACCAGUCAAUAAACUUAAAUGUUUUCAACUGGACGAUAUUACAAGCACAAUUCGUUUCGGAGGUUAGCUUUCGUUAAGUUUAUGCCUAAAGAAUUGCUGUUCAGUUAGGAAAUUCAAAAAAGAAAGGAGGAAUUGCGGAUUUUAUUGCAACAGCGGAUUUCGUCAAGAUUGUCCUAGAUAGCAACUAUUACAAAUCGCUGUGCGGGCCUAAAAAGGAACUAGGUUAGUAAUGAAUCCUGAAACGGACGCCUCGCUAUUUUUAAGCACCAACAAGACUCACGAACAAGAAAAAAAAAUCCCCGACGGCAAUUUCCCGAAGGAAGUAAAUGUCAACGCCCAAUAAUGGCGCAUCUAAUUACAUGCAUCCCCAAACGAAUGGAAACAAGAUGGCCGCUAGUAAAAAUGAAAUCAACUUGGAGCAGCUUUUCCAUUCAGAGAUGCAUGCGCAAAUGGCGAGGAGGAUAAGGAUGACUGUGCGGGUGCACGAUGCAUGCCUUAUGGAUUUUCUUUAUCGUAGUCUUACCUUCGCUUAAGCGGUUUCAGCGCAAUUUUGUCCUUAUAAACACAACUGCUAGAGACACUGCCUGUCUCGUUCCUUACCAAAAAUUAAAAGAAGAAAGUGAAUCAACGAACUUUUUUUUUUUAUUCCCAAGAAAAAAAACACUUUUAUUAUAUUAUUCCUUCGUAUAACAGGAAAAAAUACGCGUUCAAUUGUGGCUGUCGCAAUUUUGUCCAAACCAAGCUGGGGAUGGUAAAAGGUAAAAGGAGUUUGUGCAUUAGAGGAAGCAGUAGUGAAAAAUGUUACCACAAUUCAUGCACCUACAAAAACUGUCAUCGCUUUUCUAAAAUCGCUUCAUUCUUUACAAUAGUAAUUUAAUAUACUUCUGUUUUGUAGCGCAGUAUGGAAAUCAUUUUUUUUCUGAAAUCCUCGGGCUUUUCCUAAGUGAAAUUGUAACUUAAUUACACCCGGUUUUGUUCACCAGCGGGGCGGUCGGCUCCCUAAACUCGUAAACCCCCAUUGUUCCUUGUCAGGAUUUGCUCGCAGACAAUCCGACCGCCAGUGCGGAAGAAAAAUUUCCACUACCGCUUAGCGGGAAGAUUGCGACAACGCCUUGUCGAGUUGGGUCGUUUGGCUUAGACAAGGAGGACACGGAGUCUUAGCUACCUAACACACUAAGCUGACUUGGCAGGCUAUACAAAGUAGGCAGGUAGUUUAGAUGCUAAUUGCAUGUUCAUAAUGGUAUGACCGAUUAGAUGAAAGAGCACAUGGAGAAUUACAUAACAUGUUAUUUAUUACAGCGGAAGCUUUCAAAAGUUCUUAUGCUUACAAACAUAUUAUUAUACUGAAUUAUCAUUCUAUAUGACUGAAAAUUCUUUUUAUAAUUUGGCUCUUUUAGCUUAAUUUGAGGCUCUUUCUCCGUUUUAACUCUUUCUUUUUGUAAUGAAAACAAGCUUGGCAAUGCAUUGUUUUUCCCUUUACUGUGAUCAACAUGGUGUUGUUGCCCUUUUUCUUACGCAAAGCUCGCUUCUUCUUACUGUAUACUAAUUUAAACUCGGAUCAAUCGAGAAAGUUCAAACAUCUGCUAGUAUUACUACUGCCACCAUGGUUUUUUUUGUGUCCAUUAAUAGAGAGAUAGUCCAAUCAAGUUGAUUUUCAUUUUUAUUACUUUUUAUAUCCUUUAUACACUAUAAGUAUAUCUUUUAUAUUGGUUCAUGCUAUACUCUACACAAGUAUGAAUCUUGUAUCAAAUGCAAAGAAAAACUUUCCUUUUCCAUCUUGACAGUGUAUUGUUUGCCCAAUCAAACAAAUCCUUUUGAUAAUGCCAUUACUCUUCGUUGCCUCUCCAUUCUUUUAUUCAAAUUACACUUUUAGAAAAAACAGCAAUUGCUUUCACUCAUAUUUCGUCAAUCGUAAAUUAUUCAUAAUAUUCAUGUUCACAUAUCAUCGAAUUGCAUAUUUUUGCGACAUUCAUCAUCUGAAUUCUUUCAAAAGUUGAUGGGCAAAAGAUGCCGGCAUUGGUACGCGGCUAGAAAUGCAGAUAUACCUCCAAUUCUCAACACCCAUGCUAUACUAUUGUCGGCGAUGUCUCGAUGACUGCCCUCCGAUUGAAUAAAUACAAUGGUGGCAAUGAUGGUGCUCAACACUUGGGGGGCAGAUAUAAAUACAUUGUGAACACCAAUCAUUUUGCCACUGCUUUCUCGUAAUCCAAGCUUCCCUAUUUCUGAAGAAAAUAGCGAAUAUGGAAUCCAUAGAGUACAUGCCCAGGACAGUCCACAGAUAGCUACCAUUGCCUGCGCUUGCCAUGAUGUUUGCAAGAAUAUCGUGCUCAACAUACAAACACCAAAAAGGACAUGGGAGCUCAACCACAGAAUAGGAAGAGUAAGUCCUUUGAUUUGUACCUUGGAGGAUAUCGUUGUCAUAAUUGAUCUACUAGACGGUAAAAGCCUGCGUCGUGAGGGCUCAUUUUCCGAACGGAAAGAAGUUGUUUCGCUCAAAUUACCAAGACGGGGUGUAUUAGUACCAGUUCUUAUAUUUCCGAGAUCGUUUCUUUCUUGAAUGUUGUAUUCAUUAUUAGAUGCAUCACUCGAUUCGUCCUCCUCAUCAUCCUCCGUGUCCUCGAGCAACAAUGGAAGUGCUGUAUUUGCGGCAAGAGAAAUGAUAGCAAAAAGCAGUAAUGCGAACGACCCUUGACGAGUCGCCAUGUCCCAAUCUUCUUCAUGGCCUUUAGGAGCAUGGCGUAAAUAUAAAAUACCCACAUAGGUAGUAAUAUAAAACAAAAAUGGAAACCAUCCAAAGUAUGCAAAAAAUUGAACAAAA
Schizosaccharomyces pombe (fission yeast) is the source of this 3388-nucleotide non-coding RNA. The record is from the annotation of a GenBank genome assembly. NCBI's taxonomy places the organism in Eukaryota, Fungi, Ascomycota, Schizosaccharomycetes, Schizosaccharomycetales, Schizosaccharomycetaceae.